This 468-nucleotide ribosomal RNA is filed under the name uncultured bacterium. Its description in RNAcentral is "partial 16S ribosomal RNA". It matches the Rfam family "Bacterial small subunit ribosomal RNA", at positions 28 to 523 of the family's 1533-position model. The record is from RNAcentral.
GAUGAACGCUGGCGGCGUGCCUAACACAUGCAGGUCGAGCGAUUCUCUUCGGAGAAGAGCGGCGGACGGGUGAGUAACGCGUGGGUAACCUGCCCUGUACACACGGAUAACAUACCGAAAGGUAUGCUAAUACGAGAUAAUAUGCUUUUAUUGCAUGGUAGAAGUAACAAAGCUCCGGCGGUACAGGAUGGACCCGCGUCUGAUUAGCUAGUUGGUAAGGUAACGGCUUACCAAGGCGACGAUCAGUAGCCGACCUGAGAGGGUGAUCGGCCACAUUGGAACUGAGACACGGUCCAAACUCCUACGGGAGGCAGCAGUGGGGAAUAUUGCACAAUGGGCGAAAGCCUGAUGCAGCAACGCCGCGUGAGCGAUGAAGGCCUUCGGGUCGUAAAGCUCUGUCCUCAAGGAAGAUAAUGACGGUACUUGAGGAGGAAGCCCCGGCUAACUACGUGCCAGCAGCCGCCGUAA